RNAcentral lists this ribosomal RNA (415 nucleotides) under uncultured bacterium. RNAcentral's name for it is "bacterial SSU rRNA". It matches the Rfam family "Bacterial small subunit ribosomal RNA", at positions 355 to 787 of the family's 1533-position model. The record is from RNAcentral.
UGGGGAAUAUUGCACAAUGGGGGAAACCCUGAUGCAGCGACGCCGCGUGAGCGAAGAAGUAUUUCGGUAUGUAAAGCUCUAUCAGCAGGGAAGAAAAUGACGGUACCUGACUAAGAAGCCUCGGCUAACUACGUGCCAGCAGCCGCGGUAAUACGUAGGGGGCAAGCGUUAUCCGGAUUUACUGGGUGUAAAGGGAGCGUAGACGGAUGUGCAAGUCUGAAGUGAAAGCCCGGGGCUCAACCCCGGGACUGCUUUGGAAACUGUGUAUCUAGAGUGCCGGAGAGGUAAGCGGAAUUCCCAGUGUAGCGGUGAAAUGCGUAGAUAUUGGGAGGAACACCAGUGGCGAAGGCGGCCUACUGGGCUUUAACUGACGCUGAGGCACGAAAGCAUGGGUAGCAAACAGGAUUAGAUACCC